GGCGUAAUAACUAGUUUGUGAAAGACCCAGAGAAACACAAAUAUACGAAGACGAAGCAAAAUCCCGGACGUUUUUGGAAUCUCUGCCGGACGCAUUUUUUAGAAAGCAACCAUGUAAUGCCUCAGGAGUCUGUAGAGGGGACGAAGACGCAUUCUGCUGCACUUAACAGAGCUCAAGACCAACGGGACGCCAUCAGGACGGCAUCAGGACGCCACGUCAUCGGGACGGCAUCAGGACACCACGUCAUCGGGACGCCAUCAGGACGCCGCAUCAACCCCUCAGGAGCAAAUCCAGAUCUACUCAUGAAACCCACACACACCCACACACACGUACACACACACACACACACACAGAGAUGUGCACACAGACACACUAACAUUUAGAUGUACACACAGACACACUAUCAUUUGGUUCUACACACAGACACGCACUAAUAUUUAGAUGUACACUAAGACACAAUAACAAUUAGAUGUACACAAAGACACAAUAACAAUUAGAUGUACACACAGACACACUAACAAUUAGAUGUACACACAGACACACUAACAUUUGGUUCUAAACAAAGACACACACUAACAUUUAGAUGUACACAAAGACACAUUAAUAUUUAGAUGUACACAAAGACACAAUAACAAUUAGAUCUACACACAGACACACUAACAAUUAGAUCUACACACAGACACACUAACAAUUAGAUGUACACCCAGACACAUCCUGAUGAUCCUCCUCACGUCUCUUCUCCUUGUCUGCAGACCAACAGGACACCAACAGGACGUCAUCAGGACGCCACGUCACCGGGACGCCAUCAGGACACCACGUCAUCGGGACGCCAUCAGGACGCCAUCAGGACGCCAUCAGGACGCCAUCAGGACGCCGCGUCAACCCCUCAGGAGCAAAUCCAGAUCUACUCAUGACACACACACACACACACAGAUGUACUCACAGACACACUAACAUUUGGUUCUAAACAAAGACACACACUAACAUUUAGAUGUACACAAAGACACAUUAAUAUUUAGAUAUAUACACAGACACACUAACAUUUUAGAUGUACACACAGACACACUAAGAAUUAGAUGUACACACAGACACACUAACAUUUGGUUCUAAACAAAGACAAACACUAACAUUUAGAUCUACAGACAGACACACUAACAAUUAGAUGUACACACAGACACAUCCUGAUGAUCCUCCUCACGUCUCUUCUCCUUGUCUGCAGACCAACAGGACGCCAUCAGAACGCCACGUCACCGGGACGCCAUCAGGACGCCGCGUCAAGCCCUCAGGAGCAAAUCCAGAUCUACUCAUGACACACACACACACACAGAUAUUAUUAUAUUAUUUAAUAUUAUUAUUAUUGUUAAAUAUGUCGUCUGUUUAUUAUUUUAACAAUGAAAAUACAUUUUAAUAAAAAUAAAACCAAAUUAA
Long non-coding RNA from Gasterosteus aculeatus aculeatus (three-spined stickleback), 1428 nucleotides. The record is from Ensembl. Lineage: Eukaryota; Metazoa; Chordata; Actinopteri; Perciformes; Gasterosteidae.